RNAcentral lists this microRNA precursor (106 nucleotides) under Podarcis lilfordi (Lilford's wall lizard). The stretch from base 13 to 105 matches the Rfam family "mir-217 microRNA precursor family". Lineage: Eukaryota; Metazoa; Chordata; Lepidosauria; Squamata; Lacertidae. The record is from RNAcentral.
GUGUAGCCUGCAGAGCUUUUGAUGUCGCAGAUACUGCAUCAGGAACUGAUUGGAUAAUAAUCAGGCACCAUCAGUUCCUAAUGCAUUGCCUUCAGCAUCUAAACGA